UAUCCUAGUGGCGAACGGGUGAGUAACGCGUGAGUAACCUGCCUCAUACAACGGGAUACCCGAGGGAAACUUCGGUUAAUACGGUAUAAGACCACACUACCGCAUGGUAGAGGGGUAAAAGGGGCAACCUGGUAUGAGAUGGACUCGCGUCGCAUUAGCUAGUUGGUGAGGUAACGGCCCACCAAGGCGACGAUGGGUAGCCGGCCUGAGAGGGUGGCCGGCCACACUGGGACUGAGACACGGCCCAGACUCCUACGGGAGGCAGCAG
RNAcentral lists this ribosomal RNA (268 nucleotides) under uncultured bacterium. RNAcentral describes it as "partial 16S ribosomal RNA". It matches the Rfam family "Bacterial small subunit ribosomal RNA", at positions 88 to 354 of the family's 1533-position model. The record is from RNAcentral.